This 1983-nucleotide long non-coding RNA is filed under the name Sus scrofa (pig). RNAcentral's name for it is "lncRNA (ENSSSCG00030017759.1)". The record is from RNAcentral. Lineage: Eukaryota; Metazoa; Chordata; Mammalia; Artiodactyla; Suidae.
AAGGAACUAGAAACUAUAAAGAGGACUCAAAAUGAGAUAACUUGGAGUUCCCUUCGUGGCUCAGUGGUUAACGAACCCAACUAGGAUCUAUGAGGAUGCAGGUUUAAUCCCUGGCUUUGCUCAGUGGGUUAAGGAUCUGGCAUUGCUGUGAGCUGUGGUGUAGAUUGUGGACACAGCUUGGAUCAUAUGUUGCUGUGGCUGUGGUGUAGGCUGGCAGCUGCAGCUCCGAUUUGACCCCUAGCCCAGGAACCUCCAUAUGUUACAGGUGCAGCCCUAAAAAAAGCCAAAAAAAAUUAGGCAACUCAAUUUUCAAAAUAAAAACAGAGCUAAAGGCAAUGAAUAGUAUACUAAUAAUGUACAAGAACAAAUAAGUGAUCUGGAAGACAGAAUAAUGAAAUUACCCCAAAAGAAAAGCAGACAGAGAGACAAAUAUAAAAAAUAUAAGCAACACAUGAGCUCUAUGGGAUAAUAUAAAGCAUGCCAUUCUAUGCGUAACAGGGAUUCCAGAAGGAGAAGAAAGAGAAAAGAGGAUUGAAAUUGUAUUUGAAGAAAUAAUGGCUGAAAACUUCCCAAACCUAAAGUAGAAAACAUAUAUCCACAUACAGGAAGUACAGAGGGUCCCAAAUAAGACAUCAUCAAACAGCAUCACAGCAAAACAUAUCAUAAUUAAAAUUGCAAAAUUUAAAGAUAAAGAGAGGAUUCUAAAGGAAGCAAGAGAAAAACAAAGUUAAAAGUAAGCCUCCAUAAGGCUACCAGUUGAUUUCUCUACAGAAAUUGUCAGACCAGAAGGGAGUGGUAUGACAUAUUCUAACUCCUUAAACUGAAAAGACUAGGAUACUCUAUCCAGCAAGAUUAUUUUAGAAUUCAGGGAGAAACUAAGAAUUUCUCAGACAAGCAAAAACUUGUAUUCUUUUAGAAUACGGAACUGCUAAAUCUAAGCUAAAAGGAAUACUGAAAGGUCUUCUCUAAACAGAAAAGAAACAAGCACCUUAUAGGAAAGGGAAAAAUACAAUAGAAAAGGCAAAUAUACAAAAAACUGAAGAUCACUUAAGUAAUCCAAUACAUUGAUUAAAAACCAAUCAAAAUAUUUUGUAAUUGUGAUUGUAAGUAAAAUAGACAGCAAAAGGAUAAACAUGGAUAUCAAAACAGGAUAUAAAAAUCACAAAAUGUGGGGGAAGUAAGUAAAAAAGUAUAAACCUUUUAAAAUAUAUUUGAACUUAUAUGACUAUCAUUCUAAAACAAAUAGAUAUAGCUUACAGGUAAACAGGAUAUAAAAAUCACAAAAUGUGGGGGAAGUAAGUAAAAAAGUAUAAACCUUUUAAAAUAUAUUUGAACUUACAUGACUAUCAUUCUAAAGCAAAUAGAUAUAGCUUACUUGAAAAAUAGGGUAACCACACAUCAAAAUAUACAAGAGAAUGACAAAUACCAAAAGAAAGGAACUCAUGCAUAGUACAAAAGAAAACUAUUAAGCUACAAAAGGAAAGACAAAAGGAAGAAAGGAACACAGAACUACAAAAUCAACUCAAACAUAAGAUUUAAAAUGGCAAUAAAUACAUAUUAUGAUAAUUACUUUACAUGUUAAUGAACUAAAUAUUUCUAUCAAAAAAUAUAGAGUGGCAGAUAGGAUAGCAAAACAGGAACCUGUAAUAUCCUGUCUACAAGGGACACACUUUAAAGCAAAAGAAAAACAGAGAUUGGAAAUGAAGGGAUUGAAAAACAUAUUUCUGGGAGUUUCCAUUGUGGCUCAGCUGUAACAAACCUGACUAGUAUCCAUGAGGAUGAGAGUCCGAUCCCUGGCCUAGCACAGUGAGUUAAGGAUCUGGCUGUGAGCUAUGCUGUAGGCCACAGACAUGGCUCUGAUCCUGUGUUGCUGUGGCUGUGGUGUAGGCUGGCAGCUACAUCUCUGAUUCAACCCCUAGCCUGAGAACUUCCAUAUGCUUCAACUGUGGCCCUAAAACCAAAAAAAAAAAAAAAAAAAAAAAA